Molecule: ribosomal RNA, 626 nt
Filed under: uncultured fungus
Lineage: Eukaryota; Fungi
Description: eukaryotic LSU rRNA
Rfam family: Eukaryotic large subunit ribosomal RNA
Source: RNAcentral
CCCGCUGAACUUAAGCAUAUCAAUAAGCGGAGGAAAAGAAACCAACAGGGAUUGCCUCAGUAACGGCGAGUGAAGCGGUAAGAGCUCAAAUUUGAAAUCUGGCUCCUUUGCGUCCGAGGUGUUGUAAUUUGCAGAGGAUGUUUCGGGAGCAGUCUCCAUCUAAAAUCCUGGAACGGACCGUCAUAGAGGGUGAGAAUCCCGUAUGGGAUGGGGUGUCUGCGCCCAUGUGAAACUCCUUCGACGAGUCGAGUUGUUUGGGAAUGCAGCUCUAAAUGGGUGGUAAAUUUCAUCUAAAGCUAAAUAUUGGCCGGAGACCGAUAGCGCACAAGUAGAGUGAUCGAAAGAUGAAAAGCACUUUGAAAAGAGAGUUAAAAAGCACGUGAAAUUGUUGAAAGGGAAGCGCUUGCGAUCAGACUCGCCUUGGGGGUUCAGCCGGCAUUCGUGCCGGUGUACUUCCCCCAGGGCGGGCCAGCGUCGGUUUGGGUGGCCGGUCAAAGGCCCUUGGAAUGUAACGCCUCUCGGGGCGUCUUAUAGCCAAGGGUGCCAUGCGGCCUACCUGGACCGAGGAACGCGCUUCGGCUCGGACGCUGGCAUAAUGGUCGUAAGCGACCCGUCUUGAAACACGG